Mauremys reevesii (Reeves's turtle) is the source of this 1241-nucleotide long non-coding RNA. RefSeq lists it as uncharacterized. Lineage: Eukaryota; Metazoa; Chordata; Testudines; Geoemydidae. The transcript is spliced from 5 exons. The record is from RefSeq and is a predicted model, not a curated record.
AGGGACUGCACUACCUGCUUGGAACUCCAGAGAGGACACAGACAGCUAGUGACGGUUCAACAAGGAGACCUGCAGAGGUGGUUCGCAGGCAUUUAUACAAACCCUGUAGCAGCCUCUCACCCAUGAUUGUCCUUGUGCCGCUGCCAGUGUCAAAGAAUCCUGCACUGUGUGAGCACGAUCAUGCCUACUACAGCCGCCGUGGCUCCAGAGGAUUGAAACGUCUGAUAAGCCUCAGAUGGAAUCGCUGCCAGAAGGACUGAGAGGUGGGAAGGAAGCCGGGCUCUGUCUCACUGCCUCUGGAGACAGGUCAGAAGGCCACUUCCAAGCUGACAAAACGACACAGGUCGCAUGUGACCAAAUGCACGCGAAGCGGCUCUCAGGAGGCCUGGAGAGGAGCAUGUGACUUGAAGCACCACAACAUCCCUUCAGACUUGAGACCCAGAGGUGCCCUUGACCAGCCAGUCAUUGAGGUACGGGUAGAUCAGGAUACCCCGGCGCCUGAGGGCUGGUCCUGACGAGGCUGGCUCCCCGGCCCUGAGGCUGCUGCGGUUUGAGCCAGUCAGGGAACCUUGCUCGGUGCCAGAGCUAUAAGUGGAGCGGGUAGUACCGGGCGACCAGGAUCCGGUGGAGCAGUGGCUUUCGUCUGACUGGUGCCAGUCACUGCAUCCUGGAGCUGACCUGUCCGAGUGGGACGGGCGUCUUGAUUGGGGUCUCAGGACUGACGUUUGGCAGAUCUGCAUCGGACACCCGGCGAUCCACGCCUCGCGCUACUCGACUGGUACCGGGACGUCGAAUGAGACUGGGAGCUACUAUGGGCCGGUUGCCGAGAGGAUCUUCCUGAGUAGGGCGACCUACUUCUGGGAGACGAGCAAUGACACUUCAGAGAUCGGUAGUCUGUGGUCCACGGUCUGUCUCGUGAUCGGUACUGGGCCCUUGGCGACGGUCAGGGCCAGUCCUGGAGUUUUUGCUGGGUGGCGUGUGCCUCAGAGGUACGCCUCGAGUCCCUCGAUCAGUGCCCCGUGUGGGGAUGGAAGAGGGCUGCACUAGGCCUGCCUCUCUAGUCCUGAGGUGUGACGGCUUCGGGUGGGCCAGCGAUGGCGGGAUGUCCCUCCCAAUGGGGAAUGGCAGUGCUGAGGUGAAAACACACACAUAGGUCCCAAUGCAGGUUUUCCCCGAGACCGGAGUUGCAGGUGAAGUGCGGGAUGGGCUGCACCAUUCGACUUGAGGUGAGGCCCAACUUC